RNAcentral lists this ribosomal RNA (259 nucleotides) under Cylindrospermopsis raciborskii C07. RNAcentral's name for it is "partial 23S ribosomal RNA". It matches the Rfam family "Bacterial large subunit ribosomal RNA", at positions 2669 to 2925 of the family's 2925-position model. Lineage: Bacteria; Bacillati; Cyanobacteriota; Cyanophyceae; Nostocales; Aphanizomenonaceae. The record is from RNAcentral.
GAGUCCUCCUUAGUACGAGAGGACCGGGAGGAACGAACCGCUGGUGUACCAGUUAUUCCGCCAGGAGUAGACGCUGGGUAGCCAAGUUCGGAGAGGAUAACCGCUGAAAGCAUCUAAGUGGGAAGCCCACCUUAAGAUGAGUGUUCUCACUACGAGAGUAGGUAAGGUCACGGGGAGAACACCCGUUAAUAGGCUUUAUGUGGAAGUACAGUAAUGUAUGUAGCAGAGAAGUCCUAACAGACCGAGGGCUUGACCUCAG